UGAUGUUGUGCACUAGCGAUGUGGGAUGGACGGGUGGUUUGUGUUUGGAAGGAUGUCUAAGAUGUUAGGGCAAAAAGUCCUAAUUAUUUUGGAAGGGGGCUGAUCCUGAUUUAUCUUUGUCAUCCCAGAUCUUUGCCAUGGCAGGUGCGCUUGCAUGGCAGGUCACUGAAACAUAAUAAAAAUUUAGGUUUUCUCGGUGUUUUUGAGGGGAGUUCGCAUGGGGAUUGCCCAGGUUCUCCCCUCUGCUGUGGUGUGGCGUUUCGUGCUCUUUUACUUUUUUUUUUCCCCUUUUAGCGUUCUAUUAUUUUCUCCCUUUAAUACUCUGCACCAUCUGAGAUGGAUGCAUGACCAACAUCAUCGCCAACAUCAUCAUCAUCAUCGUCGCCAACAUGGAAUAAUAAUCUUAUGAUCUCCCAAGUCAUUGAUCUUCUACUACUUGCAAAUCGCAAGGCCAAGGUAUUAUUUACAUAUUUCAAACCAAAAUUUGCCUUAUAUAGUUUUACUUCAAAAUUAAUUUAGAUAUUUGCUAUUUAUUAUGCAAGUAGAUUUACCAAUAACUUGAUAACAUGCAACGAGUUCCUUUGAGAUGAUUUUUAAUUAUUCAUAUUUUUUAAUAAAAUUAUUUUGAAUUUUUUUUUUUUUUUAAAAGUUAGGCAGUACUAAGUUGUUUUAAGUAACUCGUUUACAAUUUUUUUUUCUUAGAGAAACUUAAUUAUAAAACCAACAAUCUAUCAAUGAGAUUGAAUUCAAUUAAAAGAGUCGGUACUCAAGUAUCUGAUAUACUUGCAAAAUGAGAAGUUGAACACAUCUCCAAUUGCCAUGGUUCCUUUAGAGCAAUAGAUUAAUCACCAUUUCUAAAUGCAUUGGAUCCUAAGGCCAUUUCAGAUAACUGUUUUUUGUACAAUUGGCUUCCGUUACGAAGUGCUGACAAUAAAGGCCAUCUAGUUAACACAUUAAAAAUUUCCUUUUUUGAAGUUUAUCUUAUACACAUGGAUCAAUUUACCAGUUUCAAUCAUGAUUAUUCUAUUUUGAGGCUCAUUUGCAUCUGAUAUUGUUGUGCCUGCAAAAUCUUAGGUGCCCUUGAAUUGCCUAUGAUAGUUUCUUUUAUCAUAGUGAUUUACAUUUUCAUUUUACUUGUCGAAGUGGAAUGCGAGUGAGCAUCUCAGUAUUGUUUUUCUAGUGCAUUACCAAACUGUGUAUUCUUAGGAAAAUGUUAUAUGUAGGUUGAGGCAGCAUAUAUGUACUUCGCUUGUAUUGCUAUUUGUAGUUCUUUAGGCCCUUGCAUGGGCUUCUGUUUCCAUUGGGUUGAAAGAUGGGGUACUGGCUAUCAAAGAUUUUGAUGAAAGAUGUCCCAGCAGUGAGCAUGAUGUUGGCAGUUGCAUGUCUCUUCUCUGUGAUUAACAUUGAAAAUCAAGGUAUGUGAAGUGUUUAUCAAGCUUGGUGAACUUCCAAGAUUUAUGUCAGAAGGUAUGUGGGACUGCAGCAGUCUACUAGUCAAGCUUUGGAAGGCCCCAUAUAAUCAAAAUUCAUUACUACAGCAGCUCUCUACUGACAUUAGUGUGGAGGAACUGUUAUUUGUUGUCCAAGAUUGAUCCAUGAGGCACCUGUCACCAUGUAACCAGUUCCUUUAUAUAGUGAACUUUUUCAGUGGACUAUGGUCCCGUGGUUUUUCCCCUUUUUAAGGGGUUUUCCACGUAAAUUUUGGUGUUCAGUUUAUAUUCAUACGCGCAAUUAUGUUGGUGAUCGGCACUUUCCCGAUUAUAUCAAAGCUGAAUUACUUUUUUGGCGCUCUUGAUAUGCCUAUCACAUAACAGGUAGUCUUUUUUCAUUGUUCCCUAAGUAUCAAGAAAAAGCUAAUAACAUCUAAAUGGAUUUUUAUCUGAUUUAUUCUUAAGUUUCUUUUGCAGGUUGAAGGCACAUUGAAUUUAGUGUGUUAAAGGUUCUAUGUUUUAAAUUUAGCUUUUGGUAGUGAAAUUGAAUCGCAAAUAUUUCUAUGAAAAUUUCCUUGUUUUAUUAGUAGUUCUAUUGUGGGUUUUAUAUUUGAGCGGUGAUGAAGUAUGUUAAUAAUUAUGUUUUGUCUUUCUAUUGUUAUUUUGAAUUUUAGUAGUGUUAGAUUGAACUUUCUUUCAUAGCCCUUUAAUAUUUAAACUAAAAACUUUAUAAAAUGAAAACCAAAAACAAAAA
Molecule: non-coding RNA, 2184 nt
Organism: Durio zibethinus
Lineage: Eukaryota; Viridiplantae; Streptophyta; Magnoliopsida; Malvales; Malvaceae
Source: RefSeq, a predicted model, not a curated record